GGUCGGGAGGGGGGCUGGCUGGGGGGGAUGGACCGGGCGCGGCGGCCGCAGCGGCAGGAGCCGGUGCCUGAACUCGAGCGACCGGGCUGGCGGAGACGCCGGCUGCUCCUCCCCUCCCUGCCGGUAUUACUCUCUUCAGAAGACACAACUGCAGUUAGCACUUUCUUCAGAUGCUGAUACUUGGUAAACAGCUGCUCUUAAUCACAGGAUUUAGAAGAUAGUCUCCAUCCUCCCAGAUUGGAUCUCUUUUCAUGUGGAUCUUCUAUUUCUAUGUCUUUUAAAAAAAUAACCUUUUUGGGAACAUUUUGGAUUACAACGUUUCAUCCUCAUCUAUGCAAAGAAAGGAAAGCUGUUGUGCUGGGAUUUUGAGGAGCUUUUACUAAAAGGAUUCCUGUAUACUUUAGAAGUGCUUGAGGAAGAGUGAUAAAGGCAAGU
Molecule: long non-coding RNA, 435 nt
Organism: Myotis daubentonii (Daubenton's bat)
Lineage: Eukaryota; Metazoa; Chordata; Mammalia; Chiroptera; Vespertilionidae
Gene: TMCC1
Exons: 3
Source: RefSeq, a predicted model, not a curated record